CAUGCAGGCGGUCGGGCGCGUUUUGUGUGACAGCGCAUGGCUUAACUAUGCGAGCAUACGAAAGACGGUCUGACUUGAGGGCUCGAGAGGGACACGGAAUUCCGGGUGGAGUGGUGAAAUGCGUAGAGAUCCGGAGGAACACCGAAGGCGAAGGCAGUGCCCUGGCGAGCGACUGACGCUGAGGUGCGAAAGCCAGGGGAGCGAACGGGAUUAGAUACCCCGGUAGUCCUGGCCGUAAACGAUGACCACCAGGUGUGGGAGGUAUCGACCCCUUCCGUGCCGGAGGCAACCCACUGAGUGGUCCGCCUGGGGAGUACGGUCGCAAGAUUAAA
This 332-nucleotide ribosomal RNA is filed under the name uncultured bacterium. Its description in RNAcentral is "bacterial SSU rRNA". It matches the Rfam family "Bacterial small subunit ribosomal RNA", at positions 568 to 898 of the family's 1533-position model. The record is from RNAcentral.